GAUGAAGAACGUAGCGAAAUGCGAUAAGUAGUGUGAAUUGCAGAAUUCAGCGAAUCAUCGAAUCUUUGAACGCACAUUGCGCCCUUCGGUUAUUCCUUAGGGCAUGCCUGUUCGAGCGUCAUUUCAACCUUCAAGCCUGGCUUGGUGUUGGGCGCUGUCCCGCCUCCGCGCGCGGACUCGCCCCAAAUGAAUUGGCAGUCGCACCCUCCGAGCCGCGAGCGCAGCACAAGUCGCGCGGGCGGAACUCUGGGGGGACGGACGCUCCACAAGACCCUUUCUCAGUCUUGACCUCGGAUCAGGUAGGGAUACCCGCUGAACUUAAGCAUAUCAAUAAGCAGAGGA
Molecule: unclassified non-coding RNA, 342 nt
Filed under: soil metagenome
Description: partial contains 5.8S ribosomal RNA, internal transcribed spacer 2, and large subunit ribosomal RNA
Rfam family: 5.8S ribosomal RNA (bases 1-121)
Source: RNAcentral